Molecule: ribosomal RNA, 192 nt
Filed under: Triticum aestivum (bread wheat)
Lineage: Eukaryota; Viridiplantae; Streptophyta; Magnoliopsida; Poales; Poaceae
Description: partial small subunit ribosomal RNA
Source: RNAcentral
AUGCGAGAGCAAGCCAGAGGGAUCAUGAACAAAUGCACACAUUUUGAAUGGCUGGAUGACUACGUUAAGCGGAUUCAAUUCAAUGGGGCCCCAACCCGGGAGCUCAAUCUGCCGUCAGCACCAACGAAUUUGGUCUCUGAAAGUGCCGCUCUGACAGUUGGGGAUGCAGAUCUGAAGGGGGGAUUAAAGUAG